CUCGAUGAUGAGAAUAUAUUGAUCUUGCACUAAGAAAUUUCUUUAAUCUCAAAAGUCUUAAACCUUAGCUUUUUGCCCUUUGAUAAUGAUGAUUUUCUAUUUUUCUCUCUCUAAAAUUGUGUGUCCCAUAAAAAAAAUCCCAAAAAAGUUGAAAUUUUUUAAAGUUAAAUGCACUUUGAUCUUGGAGUUAAUUGUUUCAAUGGUCACGGAACUUAGGUCCAUAUCUUUGAUUAGCCACUGAACUUUAAAAUGUCGAAUUUUGGCUAUUGAGCUUUGAAAAAUGUCAAGUGUUGGUCACUGAACUUAGGUCCAUGUCUUUGAUUGGUCAUUGAACUUUAAAAUGUCGAGUUUUGGCCACUGAACUUUGAAAAAUGUCGAGUUUUGGCCACUGAACUUAGGUCUAUGUCUUCAAUUGCUCACUGAAAUUUAAAAGGUCGAGUUUUGGCCACUGAAUUUUGGAAUAUGUCGUAUAUUACUUACUAACAUAACUGUUGAACUUUGAAAACUAUCGAGUUUACAAUGAAUAAUGUACAACAUUUUUAAAAUUCAGUGAGUAAUGUACAAUAUUUUUCAAAGUUCAGUAGUCAAAACUCGACAUUUUAAACUUCAGUGAGCAAUCGAAGACAUGAACAUAUGUUUAAUGACCAAAACUCAACAUUUUUCAAAAUUCAGUGGCUAAAACGCGACAUUUUAAAGUUCAGUGGCUAAUCAAAGACAUGGACCUAAAUUCAGUGACCAAAACUCGACAUUUUAAUGUUCAGUAGCCAAUCAAAGACAAAGACCUAAGUUCAGUGACCAUUGGAACAAUUAACCCUUGAUCUUGCACAUUAAGUUCUG
This 837-nucleotide long non-coding RNA is filed under the name Olea europaea subsp. europaea. Lineage: Eukaryota; Viridiplantae; Streptophyta; Magnoliopsida; Lamiales; Oleaceae. The record is from RNAcentral.